UAUAAAGAAAAGACGAACAGCUCAGUAACUCUUAUUUUAUUUGAUGUAUUAGGAUUAUAACUAUGUUAAAUUAUAGAUAACAAUAAUACAAUAAGAAUAAGAUCUAUCAGUUAGUUGUUAAGGUAAUGGCUUAACAAGACUAUGACGGAUAACGGUAUUACUUUGUAAUAUUCCGGAGAAGGAGCCUGAGAGAUUGCUACUAAGUCUAAGGAUUGCAGCAGGGGCGAAACUUGACCUAUGAUAUGAUAUUGAGGCAGUUAUGAGUAGUAUUUUUAAUUAUUGUAGUAUUGUAAGUAUAUACUACAAGAUAAAUCGGAGGGCAAAUCGAGUGCCAGCAGCCGCGGUAAUACUUGUUCCGAUAGUGUGUAUGAUGAUUGAUGCAGUUAAAAAGUCUGUAGUUUAUGAUUAAUAAGCAUUGUGAGGUAUAUUGUAUGGUUAGGAGAGAGAUGAAAUGUGAUAACCCUAACUGGAUGAACAGAAGCGAAAGCUAUAUACUUAAAUGUAUUAUUAGAACAAGGACGUAAGCUAGAGGAUCGAAGAUGAUUAGAUACCAUUGUAGUUCUAGCAGUAAACUAUGUUAAAUCAUAGAUACAUUUUAUAAUAUGUAUUUAUGUAAAGAAAUUAAGAUUAUAUUGACUCUGGGGAUAGUAUGAUCGCAAGAUUGAAAAUUAAAGAAAUUGACGGAAGAAUACCACAAGGAGUGGAUUGUGCGG
This 713-nucleotide ribosomal RNA is filed under the name Nosema granulosis. RNAcentral's name for it is "partial small subunit ribosomal RNA". It matches the Rfam family "Microsporidia small subunit ribosomal RNA", at positions 67 to 822 of the family's 1311-position model. Lineage: Eukaryota; Fungi; Microsporidia; Nosematidae. The record is from RNAcentral.